GGAUGAGUAUGUAAGAGGUUAAGCUGACAGAGUGUAAAUCUGUCGCCUGAUGGCUUCGUAGGUUCAACUCCUACCUCACCCA
Molecule: transfer RNA, 82 nt
Filed under: Brevibacillus phage Jenst
Lineage: Duplodnaviria; Heunggongvirae; Uroviricota; Caudoviricetes
Rfam family: tRNA
About the family: Transfer RNA (tRNA) molecules are approximately 80 nucleotides in length. Their secondary structure includes four short double-helical elements and three loops (D, anti-codon, and T loops).
Source: Rfam by way of RNAcentral